Molecule: transfer RNA, 79 nt
Filed under: Hypholoma sublateritium FD-334 SS-4
Lineage: Eukaryota; Fungi; Basidiomycota; Agaricomycetes; Agaricales; Strophariaceae
Rfam family: tRNA
About the family: Transfer RNA (tRNA) molecules are approximately 80 nucleotides in length. Their secondary structure includes four short double-helical elements and three loops (D, anti-codon, and T loops). Further hydrogen bonds mediate the characteristic L-shaped molecular structure. tRNAs have two regions of fundamental functional importance: the anti-codon, which is responsible for specific mRNA codon recognition, and the 3' end, to which the tRNAs corresponding amino acid is attached (by aminoacyl-tRNA synthetases). tRNAs cope with the degeneracy of the genetic code in two manners: having more than one tRNA (with a specific anti-codon) for a particular amino acid; and 'wobble' base-pairing, i.e. permitting non-standard base-pairing at the 3rd anti-codon position.
Source: Rfam by way of RNAcentral
UCCGGUAUGGUGUAACGGCUAACAUUACCGCCUUUCACGACGAACGCGGUAGCUCGGGGUUCGAUUCCCCGUACCGGAA